RNAcentral lists this ribosomal RNA (465 nucleotides) under Vreelandella stevensii. Its description in RNAcentral is "partial 16S ribosomal RNA". It matches the Rfam family "Bacterial small subunit ribosomal RNA", at positions 338 to 795 of the family's 1533-position model. The record is from RNAcentral. Lineage: Bacteria; Pseudomonadati; Pseudomonadota; Gammaproteobacteria; Oceanospirillales; Halomonadaceae.
CCUACGGGAGGCUGCAGUGGGGAAUAUUGGACAAUGGGGGGAACCCUGAUCCAGCCAUGCCGCGUGUGUGAAGAAGGCCCUCGGGUUGUAAAGCACUUUCAGUGAGGAAGAACGCCUGGUGGUUAAUACCCAUCAGGAAAGACAUCACUCACAGAAGAAGCACCGGCUAACUCCGUGCCAGCAGCCGCGGUAAUACGGAGGGUGCGAGCGUUAAUCGGAAUUACUGGGCAUAAAGCGCGCGUAGGUGGCUUGAUAAGCCGGUUGUGAAAGCCCCGGGCUCAACCUGGGAACGGCAUCCGGAACUGUCAAGCUAGAGUGCAGGAGAGGAAGGUAGAAUUCCCGGUGUAGCGGUGAAAUGCGUAGAGAUCGGGAGGAAUACCAGUGGCGAAGGCGGCCUUCUGGACUGACACUGACACUGAGGUGCGAAAGCGUGGGUAGCAAACAGGAUUAGAUACCCCGGUAGUC